RNAcentral lists this transfer RNA (73 nucleotides) under Methanoculleus chikugoensis. RNAcentral's name for it is "tRNA-Gly". It matches the Rfam family "tRNA". From Rfam's summary of the family: Transfer RNA (tRNA) molecules are approximately 80 nucleotides in length. Their secondary structure includes four short double-helical elements and three loops (D, anti-codon, and T loops). The record is from RNAcentral. Lineage: Archaea; Methanobacteriati; Methanobacteriota; Methanomicrobia; Methanomicrobiales; Methanomicrobiaceae.
UGCGAUAGUAGUCUAGCGGUAGGACAGGGGCUUCCCAAGCCUCUAGCCCGGGUUCGAUCCCCGGCUAUCGCAU